Molecule: ribosomal RNA, 495 nt
Filed under: uncultured bacterium
Lineage: Bacteria
Description: partial 16S ribosomal RNA
Rfam family: Bacterial small subunit ribosomal RNA
Source: RNAcentral
GACGAACGCUGGCGGCGUGCCUAAUACAUGCAAGUAGAACGCUGAAGGAGGAGCUUGCUUCUCUGGAUGAGUUGCGAACGGGUGAGUAACGCGUAGGUAACCUGCCUGGUAGCGGGGGAUAACUAUUGGAAACGAUAGCUAAUACCGCAUAAUAGCAGUUGUUGCAUGACAACUGUUUGAAAGGUGCAAUUGCACCACUACCAGAUGGACCUGCGUUGUAUUAGCUAGCUGGUGGGGUAACGGCUCACCAAGGCGACGAUACAUAGCCGACCUGAGAGGGUGAUCGGCCACACUGGGACUGAGACACGGCCCAGACUCCUACGGGAGGCAGCAGUAGGGAAUCUUCGGCAAUGGACGGAAGUCUGACCGAGCAACGCCGCGUGAGUGAAGAAGGGUGUCGGAUCGUAAAGCUCUGUUGUAAGAGAAGAACGAGUGUGAGAGUGGAAAGUUCACACUGUGACGGUAUCUUACCAGAAAGGGACGGCUAACUACGUG